AUGAUUUUUAAUUAUAACUUAAUAUCUUUACAUAUUAUUAUAAAGUUUUUUAUUUAUUCUUAUUAUAUUAUAUAUAUAAUAAAAUCAAUGUUCUUAUGGCCAGUAUUGAGAUACCACCUGGUUUGAAGACGGGUUGCUUCCACCCACCACCGCUUCCACCGCCUUACUCUAACACUAUAGUAUAUUAGUAUAGUAUAUGCGUUUUCCUCUUUUCAUCCACAAUUUUUCUGUCACCACUUCUUGCAUUGAUUUCCAAAAAAAAACCUUUUAUUCAUCUCUUUUGCCCUGUCACUCCACAAUACGCACCGCUUCCUACUUCUUUCUCUAUCUCGACGAGAAUCAGUCUUUCAAGGAAGCGUCGUCGUCGAUCGGGAUCGGAAUCGGUUUUUUUCGUCGAAAUUCGAUCACCUCUAUCCAAUAUCCAAUAUCAAGUUCUAUUGUUCUUAAAUUUUGAUGUUGAUUGGAUAUGUCGCUUUUGUUACCCAUGUAAUGAUUAUUAAGAAAUGAAUUUCAGUGACUUUUCCAGCCUUCAUUUAGCCGAUCUUUUUGCUAUAUUAUCAAAUGAAUCUCAUCGAUAGCAUCCCCGAAGAUCAAUUUCAAUUUCAAGGGUACAAAAGUUCCUUCGAUCGGUUUUCAUUUAACUCAUUUUGUACUUUUUCGUCCUUCAUGAUUUGCUACCGUAUGAUUCAAGUUUAUUAUGAAUUCAAAUGGAUUAUUUUAGUGUGAUUGCCAAAUAACGUGGACAUCUUACAUAAGGAUUAUGCUUGAAUAACUUGAUUUGGGGUUAGGCAUUCCUUCUCAUAUGGUUAUAUGACAUUAUAUAUGAUGAAUCCGGUACGUGGUUGUAAAGUGCAGCAAAAUCUAUAAUUUGUUCUAAAAAAUAUCUGCCUUUUCAUAUUAAAUUUGAUGUUAUUAAAAUAACUCAGCUGAAAUUGUUUAGUACCUAAAGGAGGUAAUACGUGGUUGUUGUGAUUUGUUGUUUCUUUGCUACUUCCGUAUUAGACAACCCAACUGUUUGGUAAAAUGCUUGAAAGAAGGUUUUCAUCUUUUUAUAAAAAUUCAUUACCUCUUAGAUAGGUGGAACUUCAAGUGGUGAGCAGUAUUUGGGAAAUUCUACUAAUAUAGAACUGCAACCAGGGAUGCUAUGCUUUGUCAACAGGUAUGUUUUGAUGUGCAUUAUGUCAAAGAAUGCGUACCUGUAACUGACGCUAAGAGAGGAGAGCAGAAAUGAAGACUUCAAAAAUUGUUUGGUCCAAUUACAACGCAUCAAAGGAUAUGACUAUAUAAGGUUGUGCCAUUUUUGUUGAGCAUCUAUGGUUAUUUGUGAUAAUAUUUGUAAUGAAUAUUUAAUUUUGAUGAUUAGGGAACCAUGUAAAAGGAUUUUCAGUUAUGUAAUAUAUCUAUAAAAAUCUAUGUAACUAUU
Molecule: long non-coding RNA, 1423 nt
Organism: Lactuca sativa (garden lettuce)
Lineage: Eukaryota; Viridiplantae; Streptophyta; Magnoliopsida; Asterales; Asteraceae
Source: RefSeq, a predicted model, not a curated record